RNAcentral lists this ribosomal RNA (225 nucleotides) under uncultured bacterium. Its description in RNAcentral is "partial 16S ribosomal RNA". It matches the Rfam family "Bacterial small subunit ribosomal RNA", at positions 30 to 249 of the family's 1533-position model. The record is from RNAcentral.
AUUGAACGCUGGCGGCAGGCCUAACACAUGCAAGUCGAGCGGUAACACAGAGAGCUUGCUCUCGGGUGACGAGCGGCGGACGGGUGAGUAAUGUCUGGGAAACUGCCUGAUGGAGGGGGAUAACUACUGGAAACGGUAGCUAAUACCGCAUAAUGUCGCAAGACCAAAGGAGGGGGUACCUUAGGGCCUCUUGCCAUCGGAUGUGCCCAGAUGGGAUUAGCUAGG